UUGGAUUAUCAUCUCAACCGUUGAAAUUGUCCCCUUGGAACUCUAGAGUGCAUACGCGGAAGAAGGAAUAGGCGAUCAAAGGUGAUGUUAGGUUGUAGCAGUGUUGAGCUUGGAGCGUGCAGCGGUCUUUUGGAGCAUGAUUUUUGAUUGAUGUAUUUUCCUUUCAGCAUUGUACUCAAAUGAUUAUAUUAGUGGAUAUGUGAUGAUAAUGUUGCCUUUGUGAA
This is a long non-coding RNA of Magnolia sinica, 224 nucleotides long. RefSeq lists it as uncharacterized. The transcript is spliced from 2 exons. Lineage: Eukaryota; Viridiplantae; Streptophyta; Magnoliopsida; Magnoliales; Magnoliaceae. The record is from RefSeq and is a predicted model, not a curated record.